AAGAUUUUAAGUUAUUUAAACUGUGUACCUUCAAAGUAUAAAAUAAUUUUUUAAUUAAAUCUUA
RNAcentral lists this transfer RNA (64 nucleotides) under Ixodes ovatus. RNAcentral's name for it is "tRNA-Trp". The record is from RNAcentral. Lineage: Eukaryota; Metazoa; Arthropoda; Arachnida; Ixodida; Ixodidae.